GGUGUUUAUAAAAUUUCAUCCUUACGCUCAGACCUCAGAGCAUUGUGGCGCUUAAACUUCAACAUAAGUAUUUUGGGCCAUUCCUGAUAAUUGACAAAAUUGGCAAGGUUGCUUACAAAUUACAGUUGCUUCCUGAUUCUCAAAUUCAUAAUCUGUUUCACGUCUCUUUGUUGAAGCCAACCUCAGCUUCGGUUCAUGUUUCUACGUCUUUCCCACCUAAGAAUAUUCUUACUAUGGUUGUUCCACAAAUUGUUCUCGAUCGUCGCAUGGUAAAACAUCGUAAUGCAGUAACUACGCAAGUCUUGAUGCAUUGGCAAGGUACUUCGCUAGCUGACACGACCGGGGAGUAUGCAAAUGAGAUGCAUCUUCGUUUUCCUUCAUUCUCCUUGGGGAUAAGGAUUCUCG
This 405-nucleotide unclassified non-coding RNA is filed under the name Hevea brasiliensis (rubber tree). Lineage: Eukaryota; Viridiplantae; Streptophyta; Magnoliopsida; Malpighiales; Euphorbiaceae. The record is from RNAcentral.